AAGAACGCCCCGUUUUUUGAAAUGGGUAAUUCCCAAACCGUGUCUAUAUACCUUUGUUGCUCUGGCAGGCGCAGUCAGCCGGAGGACCCAAACUCGUUUUGUUUAGUGUCGUCUGAGUACUAUAUAAUAGUUA
Molecule: unclassified non-coding RNA, 133 nt
Filed under: uncultured Leotiomycetes
Lineage: Eukaryota; Fungi; Ascomycota; Leotiomycetes
Description: sequence contains ITS1
Source: RNAcentral